UUCUAAAAUUUAUCAAAACAUUUCCUACAGCUAUUACCUUAAUUUCAAUCCAAGACACUCAAAUAUUUUCACAGUUUGCCCGAAGAAAUUGUAUUUGUAUACCCGACUGGGGGUAUCAUUCACCCCCCCCCACUCCCAGCGGUAGUGUCGCCCCUGUGUUUAGUAUCCUAAUCUCGGGAUUAACGUCGUUCGCUAAGGGAUCAUUUAUCAGUGGUUCAUCGGUAUGCCAGAGCACCAGCUUAAAAAACUCUUUAAAAAAGCGAGCCUUAUUAGUACGACCGGAUUUUGAAAUCCCACUAACGACCGAAGUCGAGUACUUAAACUGACUUACCCAACGUUGUGAUUACAUAUCUUCGAAGUAUUACUACUUUAAAUGUCAAAAUGAUCUGCUGGUCGUCUUUUUUCUUGUUUCAAAAAUACGGACUAAAUGUUGAUUUCAUUUCUAUUGGGUUCAUAAAUUACUAGUGAGUGUCAGAAUAGUAUUUCACCAUAUUUGUAACGUAUGUGUUUUUUUUUGCAAUGGCAGGUAGUGGAGGCAGCAACAACAACAACAACAACAAUAGCAACGACAACAGCAGUGCUGGCCUCUGUAAGUUUUGACGUGACCCCUUCCUACCAUAGUUAGCAAUUAAUGUACUACUUUCAGUAUCGUAGCCAUGGGACCCGAGCAUCUCUCCCCCUUUUUUUUGGACCAGCUUUGUAGUUAUUUCAAAUUUGUGGGUGGCGUAACCUGUUAAUUUCAUCUGUGACGUAACAUAUACCAAACUGUCACUUUCAGAUUAUGAUAAAACGUGUCUAAGGUGCAUGAAAUAGCGUUUCACAGAACCUCUUCUUCAAUGUAAUCGACCGCUGGACCCCCCACACUCACUCUUCUUUUAAGGCUGGCUGCGCCCCUGACCACUUUCGACCUGAUAUUGAAGAACCUAAACGAACCUACGACCUUUCCAAUACCAGCCCAAUGCUCUGCCAAUUGAGCUACUGUACGCGGUCAGGUCGGUUCGAGUGUGUAUUAUUUUGGGACUGAAUCUAGUUCCUACGAUAUCGAUGUAAUCUAAUAAUAUGAUUUUUCUGUGUUGGUGUAAUUGUACUCAGGUGAAUAAGAUGCCUGUGAUGUUACCCUGGGUGUAUAUACACAACGGGCAAGCUUGAAAAAUAUGACUUGCCACGAUUAGAAUCGAACCUAUGACCUUUGCAAUACCAACCGAAUGCUCUGCCAACUGAGCUACGCCGUCAGUCCGUUCGAGUAUAGCUGAGUUGGCAGAGCAUCGGGCUGGCAUUCCAAAGGUCGUAGGUUCGAUUCCCACCGUGGCCAGGCAUAUUUUUCAAGCUCGCCGGGUGUGGAUAUACACUCAGAGUAACAUCACAAGCAUCAUAUUCAUCUGAGUACAAUUACACCAACACAGAAAAUCAUGAUUAUUAGAUUACAUCGAAAUCGAGGGAACUAGAUUCGGUUCCGAAAUAUCAGAUACUCGAACCGACCAGACCGCGUAAUUAACUCAGUUGGCAGAGCAUUGGGCUGGUAUUCCAAAGGUCGUAGUUUUGCUUCCCACCAUGGCCAGACAUAUUUUUGAAGCUUGUCCGGUGUGGAUAUACACUCAGAGUAAGAUCAUAAGCAAUCAACGUAAUAUUGUUUUAUACAUGAGUUAGUAUAAACAAGUGCAUGUGACUGUCUGAUGCUUUCCGGGAUGAGGGACAGCUCAAAGUUUUCCAGAAUUUUUAUCGUGAAUUGUAAUAAUAACCUGCAUGAAUUUAAUGAAUAACCUGUAUCUUUCCAAAUUUUCUUGAUUUUUCCUGUAUAGUAUGUGCACAAUUCUCUGUCGUUUUCUAAAGUUUGGGAGGGUAUAUUUCUCCCUCCCCCCCCUCCCUGCCCUAUUGUCUCAAUUGCCAAUGCAAAGGACGAUUUCCAAACACGAGAAUACAGUAGAAACGAGACUGCUUACCAAUAAACAAUCUGACUUUAUAUUGCUCUCGAAUUUCGGUUAAAAGAAUAACCUGACAUAAAGAUUGUGGCAUGCUUUUGCAAUCCAAUUCAGUGGUCGGAAUGGUCUUUUGGAUUUUAAUUGUUCUCUCCGCCAUCCAGUCACUCAUUGUUUGACUUACUUGUGGCCAGGGCCGCCGAGAGGGGGGGAGGGGCAGGGGGGGGGGCAAAUUGCCCCGGGCCCCGAGGUUCUGGGGGCCCCUAAAAAUUUAAUGUUAGAAAUUUAAUGGGCCCCAGUCAUUUUUUCGGGCGAAAUAUUUCUGUUUUCGGGCCAAAAUAUUUGUGUUUUGGGGGCAAUGAACCGAAAUUUGGUAUGGAAAAUUGCGGAAAAGUCCAACGAAAGCAAUUAUAACGCACCUAAAAAGAAUUUAUUGUCGGAAAAAUUUUUUUCCCGAAAAUUUUUUUGCAAUAGGGGCCCCUAAAAAAUUUUUUGCCCCGGGCCCGCGCCAAGCUCUCGGCGGCCCUGCUUGUGGCAAUAUUACCUAAUUCGCUCUUACUAAUAAAGAAAUGGAGAUCUCAUCCACGCGUUCCCAAAUACGUGCUCCUAUUGAUGAGUUUCGAAAUAUCUGCAUUUUAAAGAAUAUGUAGACAUUAAUAUUAAUUGAUUAAUUAAACAACUUACAAUAUAAUAUUACAAGUGAUACUCAAGGUAUGAGAAUGCACUCUGCUUUACAAACAACCUCACAAGCCAGCGUCCGAGGUUGAGUCGGAUACAGAUGCGAUGCUCCUCGUUAAAAUAUAGAUUGGACACAUUAAAAUAAUAAUAUUGACAAAUUAUUUUGGCGACAUGGUUCGUUUUAGCCGAGAAAAUCGAAGCUAAAAUUUACGUAAAUCAGAGCAAAAUUUGUAUGCGAUUUAUAAAUUUGGAUUGAUUAAAUGUUCAUUUCUUUCGAGUUUUUGAACUAGCAUUCCCAUUUCUUCUUGUUGUGAAGCGUGUUUUGCAGAUAGGUUAUUGACUAUGACGUUCCAUUAUAACGUUCCAUUAUUUUUAUUUAGCAUUUGGUGUGAAGAUUGGCAUUGGUGCAGGCGGUGGCGGAACUAGCCUUUUUAUUUUGUGUUGUCUUUAUUAUUUCUGUUGUAAAAAAUAACGUUGUCAUUGAUUAUUUAACGUUAUGUUUUUUUCCAAGUGUUAAUGCUUUGAUUGUAGUGAAAAGUAGUAAAUGAAAUAGUCAUAAAUAGCACCAUGCAUCAAUUGUAGUAUACGAGGGAUCUUUCAUCAUUUAUACCUGUGAUGAUUCUUAAGAACAAUAACGAAAUUAAGAACAGUAAGGCGAAACAUCUAAUUAUAACCGUCAUGUAUAAUCUCCUUAUCUUUAAAUAAUUAAUCGUGGAUAUCCAUAUAGACUAGUUUUGAAUUUUUUAUGUAAUAAGUAUUUUUGUAACUUUUCAUUUACAUUUUCUGUUGG
Paramuricea clavata is the source of this 3384-nucleotide non-coding RNA. Lineage: Eukaryota; Metazoa; Cnidaria; Anthozoa; Malacalcyonacea; Plexauridae. The record is from the annotation of a GenBank genome assembly.